AAAUUGAAGAGUUUGAUCAUGGCUCAGAUUGAACGCUGGCGGCAGGCCUAACACAUGCAAGUCGAACGGUAACAGGAAGCAGCUUGCUGUUUUGCUGACGAGUGGCGGACGGGUGAGUAAUGUCUGGGAAACUGCCUGAUGGAGGGGGAUAACUACUGGAAACGGUGGCUAAUACCGCAUAACGUCGCAAGACCAAAGAGGGGGACCUUCGGGCCUCUUGCCAUCAGAUGUGCCCAGAUGGGAUUAGCUUGUUGGUGAGGUAACGGCUCACCAAGGCGACGAUCCCUAGCUGGUCUGAGAGGAUGACCAGCCACACUGGAACUGAGACACGGUCCAGACUCCUACGGGAGGCAGCAGUGGGGAAUAUUGCACAAUGGGCGCAAGCCUGAUGCAGCCAUGCCGCGUGUAUGAAGAAGGCCUUCGGGUUGUAAAGUACUUUCAGCG
This 444-nucleotide ribosomal RNA is filed under the name Salmonella enterica. Its description in RNAcentral is "bacterial SSU rRNA". It matches the Rfam family "Bacterial small subunit ribosomal RNA", at positions 1 to 441 of the family's 1533-position model. The record is from RNAcentral. Lineage: Bacteria; Pseudomonadati; Pseudomonadota; Gammaproteobacteria; Enterobacterales; Enterobacteriaceae.